RNAcentral lists this ribosomal RNA (986 nucleotides) under human gut metagenome. Its description in RNAcentral is "bacterial LSU rRNA". It matches the Rfam family "Bacterial large subunit ribosomal RNA", at positions 1945 to 2925 of the family's 2925-position model. The record is from RNAcentral.
ACGGUCCUAAGGUAGCGAAAUUCCUUGUCGGGUAAGUUCCGACCUGCACGAAUGGCGUAAUGAUGGCCAGGCUGUCUCCACCCGAGACUCAGUGAAAUUGAACUCGCUGUGAAGAUGCAGUGUACCCGCGGCAAGACGGAAAGACCCCGUGAACCUUUACUAUAGCUUGACACUGAACAUUGAGCCUUGAUGUGUAGGAUAGGUGGGAGGCUUUGAAGCGUGGACGCCAGUCUGCGUGGAGCCAACCUUGAAAUACCACCCUUUAAUGUUUGAUGUUCUAACGUUGGCCCCUUACCGGGGUUGCGGACAGUGUCUGGUGGGUAGUUUGACUGGGGCGGUCUCCUCCCAAAGCGUAACGGAGGAGCACGAAGGUUAGCUAAUCCUGGUCGGACAUCAGGAGGUUAGUGCAAUGGCAUAAGCUAGCUUGACUGCGAGCGUGACGGCGCGAGCAGGUGCGAAAGCAGGUCAUAGUGAUCCGGUGGUUCUGAAUGGAAGGGCCAUCGCUCAACGGAUAAAAGGUACUCCGGGGAUAACAGGCUGAUACCGCCCAAGAGUUCAUAUCGACGGCGGUGUUUGGCACCUCGAUGUCGGCUCAUCACAUCCUGGGGCUGAAGUAGGUCCCAAGGGUAUGGCUGUUCGCCAUUUAAAGUGGUACGCGAGCUGGGUUUAGAACGUCGUGAGACAGUUCGGUCCCUAUCUGCCGUGGGCGCUGGAGAAUUGAGGGGGGCUGCUCCUAGUACGAGAGGACCGGAGUGGACGCAUCACUGGUGUUCGGGUUGUCAUGCCAAUGGCACUGCCCGGUAGCUAAAUGCGGAAGAGAUAAGUGCUGAAAGCAUCUAAGCACGAAACUUGCCCCGAGAUGAGUUCUCCCUGAGACUUUAAGUCUCCUGAAGGAACGUUGAAGACGACGACGUUGAUAGGCCGGGUGUGUAAGCGCAGCGAUGCGUUGAGCUAACCGGUACUAAUGAACCGUGAGGCUUAACCUU